Elaeis guineensis (African oil palm) is the source of this 1689-nucleotide non-coding RNA. NCBI's taxonomy places the organism in Eukaryota, Viridiplantae, Streptophyta, Magnoliopsida, Arecales, Arecaceae. The record is from RefSeq and is a predicted model, not a curated record.
CCCUCCCGAGUCCCGCCGUUGCUUUCCAGCACGCCAGCUGCAGGGCAUUCCUACGAACAUCUUAGGCUUAACUCCAGGAUUCAGGGCUGGUGUUAGGGUUUGGUUAUCCCACCACCCGCUGUAUAAAGGCGUGUAAGCUGGGGUCCCGGGUGGCCUUGCUUUGCCUCCGGUCCAUCGCCCGUGCCUCCCCGUGAAUCGAAGCCGUCUCAAAUCCCUCUGCCAUCCCGUUUUGCCAUUUCUCGAGGUUUUGCAAGUAGGACUACAAGUCAGCUGAAGAACAUAUCCAUGUCUAUCUCAACGAGUCCAUCACCAGUAGCAGCUCCAGAGUUGACUGAUCAAAGAGAGGAAGUUGAAUUGCUACCUUCUGUCAAUGACCACUAUGGAGGUGUUAUGGUUGAAAUGAAGACACCAAUGGAUUCUAGUGCUUUUGUUUCUUCAUUAAGAGCAUCUAUAUCAUAUUGGAGGAAGCAGGGAAUAAAAGGUGUUUGGAUAAAGUUGCCCAUCAAUCUCUCAAAUCUUGUUCAACCUGCUGUUGAGGAGGGAUUUUGGUACCACCAUGCAGAGCCAAGUUACUUGAUGCUUGUGUAUUGGAUUCCUGAUACCAAACAUACAAUUCCUGCAAAUGCCUCUCAUAGAGUAGGUGUUGGUGGUUUUGUUAUGAAUGACAAGAGAGAGGUAUUGGUGGUCCAAGAAAAUAGCGGCAAACUUCAUGGCUCAGGUGUUUGGAAGAUUCCUACAGGAGUAGUUGACCAAGGUGAAGAUAUUUAUGCUGCAGCAGUAAGGGAAGUAAAAGAAGAGACUGGAAUUUUACUGCAUUGCAGAUUGACACCGAGUUUGUUGAAAUACUUGCAUUCAGGCAGAACCACAUGUCAUUCUUUGGGAAGUCAGAUUUAUUCUUUGUAUGCAUGUUACGCCCCCUCUCCUUUGACAUUCAGAAGCAAGAAUCAGAAAUUGAGGCAGCGCAGUGGAUGCCUAUUGAGGAAUAUGCUGCACAACCUUUUGUUCAGAAAUAUGAUGUGUUAAAGUAUAUCACUGAUGUUAGCCUUGCAAAAGCUGAAAGGGGUUAUGCUGGAUUUUCACCAGUUUGCGUAAAAUCACCAUUCUCUCAUGCACAAGACUAUCUUUAUUUAAACAGGAAGGACCUGAGCCAGCCAUCAAGACCUGGCUGAGGAUGGCUCGGCUGACGGUAGCACCCCUCCAUACCUAUGCCUCAACUGCCCCCACUGCAGCAACCCAUGCCAGCUUUUCCCUCCGCCGCCACCAUAUCCAUUUUAUGGAGCUCCGCCGCCGCCAUCGCCAUCUGGGCUGGGCUAUGGAGCGCCGCCACCGCCAUCUCCAGUUGAGUGCCCGCCAACUCCUGUACAGUGCUGCCAAAAUCCUCCACUGCAGGGUCCCAGUUCUCCAAAUCUCCCAUAUUACAAUUAUUCAUCCUCUCCUCCCUCGCCGACGUUCCACCGGGUCUGCAGUGCUCUUCUCUCCAUUCUACUCUUCUUUCACUUUGCUUUCUAGGUUCUCAGAGGAAAUGCUAGCUUCCUCCUGGGAUCUUUCAUUGGAUGAGUUUCUAAUAAAAGUUUUGUGGUGAUGUCGUGGUAACUGUUAGUGGCUGUAGCUUUUUCUUAUGGGCUUAUGAUGUGUACUCUCUUUUAUAUUCAAAUUCGGAAUAAAUGUACGUCUCUGUUUUAUUUGAUC